UACGGAGGAUGCGAGCGUUAUCAGGAUUUAUUGGGUUUAAAGGGUGCGUAGGCGGCUUUUUAAGUCAGUGGUGAAAGUCUGUCGCUUAACGGUAGGAUUGCCAUUGAUACUGUUGGACUUGAAUAUGGAUGAGGUAGGCGGAAUGUGUAGUGUAGCGGUGAAAUGCAUAGAUAUUACACAGAACACCGAUUGCGAAGGCAGCUUACUAAUCCAUCAUUGACGCUGAGGCACGAAAGCGUGGGGAUCAAACAGGA
RNAcentral lists this ribosomal RNA (254 nucleotides) under uncultured prokaryote. RNAcentral describes it as "partial 16S ribosomal RNA". It matches the Rfam family "Bacterial small subunit ribosomal RNA", at positions 524 to 777 of the family's 1533-position model. The record is from RNAcentral.